RNAcentral lists this transfer RNA (76 nucleotides) under Ruminococcus sp. Its description in RNAcentral is "tRNA-Thr". It matches the Rfam family "tRNA". Rfam says of the family: Transfer RNA (tRNA) molecules are approximately 80 nucleotides in length. Their secondary structure includes four short double-helical elements and three loops (D, anti-codon, and T loops). Lineage: Bacteria; Bacillati; Bacillota; Clostridia; Eubacteriales; Oscillospiraceae. The record is from RNAcentral. RNAcentral also lists the same sequence under 2 other names.
GCUAUCUUAGCUCAGUUGGUAGAGCACAUCCUUGGUAAGGAUGAGGUCGUCGGUUCAAAUCCGAUAGAUAGCUCCA